RNAcentral lists this ribosomal RNA (652 nucleotides) under Bifidobacterium longum. RNAcentral describes it as "bacterial SSU rRNA". It matches the Rfam family "Bacterial small subunit ribosomal RNA", at positions 63 to 727 of the family's 1533-position model. Lineage: Bacteria; Bacillati; Actinomycetota; Actinomycetes; Bifidobacteriales; Bifidobacteriaceae. The record is from RNAcentral.
CGAACGGGAUCCAUCAAGCUUGCUUGGUGGUGAGAGUGGCGAACGGGUGAGUAAUGCGUGACCGACCUGCCCCAUACACCGGAAUAGCUCCUGGAAACGGGUGGUAAUGCCGGAUGCUCCAGUUGAUCGCAUGGUCUUCUGGGAAAGCUUUCGCGGUAUGGGAUGGGGUCGCGUCCUAUCAGCUUGACGGCGGGGUAACGGCCCACCGUGGCUUCGACGGGUAGCCGGCCUGAGAGGGCGACCGGCCACAUUGGGACUGAGAUACGGCCCAGACUCCUACGGGAGGCAGCAGUGGGGAAUAUUGCACAAUGGGCGCAAGCCUGAUGCAGCGACGCCGCGUGAGGGAUGGAGGCCUUCGGGUUGUAAACCUCUUUUAUCGGGGAGCAAGCGAGAGUGAGUUUACCCGUUGAAUAAGCACCGGCUAACUACGUGCCAGCAGCCGCGGUAAUACGUAGGGUGCAAGCGUUAUCCGGAAUUAUUGGGCGUAAAGGGCUCGUAGGCGGUUCGUCGCGUCCGGUGUGAAAGUCCAUCGCUUAACGGUGGAUCCGCGCCGGGUACGGGCGGGCUUGAGUGCGGUAGGGGAGACUGGAAUUCCCGGUGUAACGGUGGAAUGUGUAGAUAUCGGGAAGAACACCAAUGGCGAAGGCAGGUC